Molecule: microRNA, 21 nt
Filed under: Sus scrofa (pig)
Lineage: Eukaryota; Metazoa; Chordata; Mammalia; Artiodactyla; Suidae
Description: ssc-miR-9806-5p
Source: miRBase by way of RNAcentral
CCUCGCUGAGUAGUCUGGACC